Molecule: non-coding RNA, 26 nt
Filed under: Homo sapiens (human)
Lineage: Eukaryota; Metazoa; Chordata; Mammalia; Primates; Hominidae
Source: RNAcentral
AGGUUCAGUUCACAGAGUUUGAGGGC